This 393-nucleotide ribosomal RNA is filed under the name uncultured bacterium. RNAcentral describes it as "partial 16S ribosomal RNA". It matches the Rfam family "Bacterial small subunit ribosomal RNA", at positions 523 to 918 of the family's 1533-position model. The record is from RNAcentral.
AUACGGAGGACGCGAGCGUUAUCCGGAUUUAUUGGGUUUAAAGGGUGCGCAGGCGGCCGUGCAAGUCAGCGGUGAAAGCCCGGGGCUCAACCCCGGAAGUGCCGUUGAUACUGCGUGGCUGGAAUGCGGUCGAGGCGGGCGGAACGUGGCGGGUAGCGGUGGAAUGCGUAGAUAUGCCACAGAACGCCGAUGGCGGAGGCAGCUCGCCAGGCCUGCAUUGACGCUCGGGCACGAAAGCGUGGGGAUCGAACAGGAUUAGAUACCCUGGUAGUCCACGCCGUAAACGAUGGGCGCUCGUCGUCGGCGACAGACAGUCGGCGGCCAAGCGAAAGCGAUAAGCGCCCCACCUGGGGAGUACGGUCGCAAGGCUGAAACUCAAAUGAAUUGACGGGG